GGACUACUGGGGUAUCUAAUCCCGUUUGCUCCCCUGGCUUUCGCGCCUCAGCGUCAGAAAGGGUCCAGCACCUCGCCUUCGCCACCGGAGUUCCGGUCGAUAUCAACGCAUUUCACCGCUCCACCGACCGUUCCAGAUGCCCCUACCCUCCUCAAGAUUCGCAGUAUCCACGGCACUUCUCCAGUUAAGCUGGAGGCUUUCACCACAGACUUGCGAACCCGCCUACGCGCCCUUUAAGCCCAGUGAUUCCGAACAACGUUCGCACGGUUCGUCUUACCGCGGCGGCUGGCAC
Molecule: ribosomal RNA, 292 nt
Filed under: uncultured bacterium
Lineage: Bacteria
Also listed under: 2 other names
Description: partial 16S ribosomal RNA
Source: RNAcentral